RNAcentral lists this ribosomal RNA (529 nucleotides) under uncultured eukaryote. Its description in RNAcentral is "SSU rRNA". It matches the Rfam family "Eukaryotic small subunit ribosomal RNA", at positions 22 to 548 of the family's 1831-position model. The record is from RNAcentral.
AGUCAUAUGCUUGUCUCAAAGAUUCAUCCAUGCAUGUCUCAGUAUAAGUCUUCGUACGGCGAAACUGCGAAUGGCUCAUUAAAACAGUUAUAGUUUAUUUGAUGGUCAAAUCGUUACUUGGAUAACUGCGGUAAUUCUGGAGCUAAUACAUGCACAAAGCCUCAACCUUACGGGAGAGGUGCUUUUAUUAGAUCAAAACCAAACGGCUUCGGCUGUACUCUUGGUGACUCUGAAUAACUUUGGGCUGAUCGCAUAGCCUUGCGCUGGCGACAUAUCCUUCGAAGGUGUGCCCUAUCAACUGUCGACUGUGGCAUAGACGCCCACAGUGGUUUUGACGGGUAACGGGGAAUCAGGGUUCGAUUCCGGAGAGGGAGCCUUAAAAACGGCUACCACAUCUAAGGAAGGCAGCAGGCACGCAAAUUACCCAAUGACCGAAGGUCGAGGUAGUGACGAAAAAUAACGAUAGCGGACUCUUCCGAGGCCCGCUAAUUGGAAUGAGUACACUUUAAAACCGUCCCCGAGGAUCUAU